CCGCAGAACAUAUGAGUGAGUAUAAUAAAAUUGGAACGACAUAGAGAAGAUUAGCAUGGCUCCUGCGCAAGGAUGACACAGUGGUAGUGGUAGUAGUAGGGAAUACCU
RNAcentral lists this small nuclear RNA (108 nucleotides) under Phlebotomus papatasi. The record is from RNAcentral. Lineage: Eukaryota; Metazoa; Arthropoda; Insecta; Diptera; Psychodidae.